UAUUACACUCAAGCUUGGUAAACUUAUACCCCAGACCAAAUGUGGGAGCUAGGUUAAGAGAAUACAAAGGUGAAAAUGAACACUAACUCUUCUCUAGAGGAGCUCACAUUUCGGUAGAAGAAUGCGUGAGAAAGUACAUUGCCAGCAAGAUGCUUAACAGCGUAAGUGCCUCAAGAGCCCAGUAGGUGGAAUUUAAGCCUAAAAUCUCAUCGGUGGGGAAAUGGACAAUUAACGGUGUAUCUAUACAAUUUGGAACACCACGUUGCUGAGAAAAGUUGAGCAAUGUAAAAAUUGACACAGAAUUUAGAUACCUGUGAUUUGUAACACUUUGGAAACAAUCCAAGGAUCCUGAUAGACAUCAAAAAUUAGUUUGGGGGAUUUUUCCCCCCCAGAAGUGGCUGCCACACUAUCGCAUUUUGUGCUUCUGACAUGAAGGAAGCAGAAUCUUUACCUGGUAGAUUUAUUUUUGUGGGCAUCUAUCCACCGCUGGGUCUGGGACAUCACUUAAGUGAAGGUCGGUGGAGUCGCAGAGCUGUCGAAAAGCUGUGCUGAAGAAAACAAAACAUAUCAGUGACAAAUAGCCCAGGGUAUCACAGAUGGUCUUGCUAUGGCUUCCUUGACUGACCUCAAACUCUUGGGCUCAGAUGAUCCUCCUGCCUCAGACUUCUGAGUAGCUGGAUCUACAGAAUAAGACUGAUUUUGUGGGGAAAUGAAGCUAUGUAUUCCAGUUUUAGAAGACCUGAAUCUGCUGUGUUGAAAAUCUCCUUUUCUUGUCCCUUUAGGAAUGACAGAAAUAAAAGCAAAUGAGUCGUUUUAACAGGUGUUGGUAUUAAGAUGGUUUACUGUAAUAAUAAUGGCUUCUGCUUGCUUCACAACUGAAUGAAGGGAGAUAAGGACAGGUACUGGUAG
RNAcentral lists this long non-coding RNA (909 nucleotides) under Marmota monax (woodchuck). The record is from RNAcentral. Lineage: Eukaryota; Metazoa; Chordata; Mammalia; Rodentia; Sciuridae.